GAGAGGUAUUAGCAGUAGAAAGAGGGAAGUGCUCAUGCCAUUAUACAGAACACUGGUGAGACCUCACUUGGAGUAUUGUACACAGUACUGGAGACCGUAUCUUCAGAAGGAUAUUGAUACCUUAGAGAGGGUUCAGAGAAGGGCUACUAAACUGGUUCAUGGAUUGCGGGAUAAAACUUACCAGGAAAGGUUAAAGGAUCUUAACAUGUAUAGCUUGGAGGAAAGACGAGACAGGGGAGAUAUGAUAGAAACAUUUAAAUAUAUAAAGGGAAUCAACACAGUAAAGGAGGAGACUAUAUUUAAAAGAAGAAAAACUACCACAACAAGAGGACAGUCUUAAAUUAGAGGGACAAAAGGUUUAAAAAUAAUAUCAGGAAGUAUUACUUUACUGAGAGGGUAGUGGAUGCAUGGAAUAGCCUUCCAGCUGAAGUGGUAGAGGUUAACACAGUAAAGGAGUUUAAGCAUGCAUGGGAUAGGCAUAAGGCUAUCCUAACUAUAAGAUAAGGCUAGGGACUAAUGAAAGUUUUUAGAAAAUUGGGCAGACUGGAUGGGCCGAAUGGUUCUUAUCUGCCGUCACAUUCUAUGUUUCUAUGUUUCUAUGUUUCUAUAAUUGUAUCAAUGUUAUUAUAAAAUAAAAAUGAGUCAUCUGCAACAUGUAGAGGUUUUUGAAUUAUUCAAAGUCCAAGGAUAUGCAAAUAAUAUUCUUCAAAAAUUAAAUCUUCAGAGUUAAAGUAUUUUGUAGCCUGAACAUUCAUAAGAAGAAUAGGGGACCAAAAAUAGCUUAGGUCUGUGCUAUAAGGAAUGCAAAAUCGGACAGAUUUUGAAUAAUGAAGUCCACUGGUCAUUAAUCUACAUGAGAUAAAAAAUUAGCUCACGAAAAUCUUUAAUCAACCAACUGCAAUAUCAGGUCCAUGUUGGAGAAUUUAAAUUGUGUAGGAGUAGAACCAAGAGUAUAUUAUUUCAACCCCAGAAUUUGAGCAAUGUAAAAAAACAGUAUAUAUAGAAAAAUAGUAAAAGGACCAUUCACUCAUCAAACUGAAGUUCCCAGCCUAUGCAAAAAACUGCGCCAGAGCUCCCAACGAGAUUGCGAGAGAUCUUGUGACAUCACACGUCACAAAUGUCGGCACAAAGGACUCCAUGGAAAUGGUUGGUUGGAGUCUUUUGCCAAACACGGGCAGCACGGCAAGACUGUUAGUAAAUAAAAUAACAACAAAAUAUAGCUAAAUAAAGCUCUACUCUAAAUAGAAAUCUACAAGAUCGUAAUACACAUACAGGUAUACCCAGCAACAUUAUAAGAAAGCCUAAGAUAGACAAUGUAUACAUUUAGCCAUGGUUUAAUCCUUACCUAUAUACAUAUCACAAUAUGACUUACUGUCCCAUAUACAGAAUUGUUUAAAUGCACAGACACACCAAAAUAAUAGAAAUAAUCAGAAGCAAAAAAACAGAACAGAAUGGAUAAGUGAAUAUACCAAUAAUAUACAAAGACUCUGGGGAAACACACCUCCCACAAGCGUGAGUCUUACCGUCAGUCGGUACCCAAACUCAUAUAUUAUAAAAACCAGUGGCAUUCUAGUUUUACUUGUAUCCCAUAAAGUGACACAGUAUCCAAAAGGUACAUUAAUUUGACCUCUUUUUGUAAUAAAAUGUGAUUUGUAUUAACACAAUGUUUCAAUAUCCUUUCACUAUUUUCCUAUAUCUAUUGGUGAGUUUGUUUAUUACACUAAGUACAUUGUACAUUGAGAAAAGGACAGGAGUCACAAAACGUUUAUUUUUGGUGCUCCUAAUUAAAUAUAUUAAUUACUAAAUGGUCACUAAAUUUCACAUUGUGUUUUUUCUCUAUUUUUGCAUUGUAUUCUCUGUGCUGAUUUUUGGCACGGCAGUGAGCACAAUCCACAACUGUCGUUGUUUACAAUCUGAAGAUAUAUUUUUUUUUAAUUUGUCAGAGAACCAAUGAUCCAUCAUAAAAGCUUUAUGUACAUAUAGGUCUUCAUUGAAUGCACUUAAAAGAUACUGAACUCUGUGUAGGAAAGGUCAGGAGGAACUAGUUUAUAUAAAUUAUGUAACUUAUAGCAAUUAGUAACAUGGCUUGGCUUAUCUUGGACUCAUCUAAAUAAACCCUAUUACACUGGAAAAAUAGAAUGUAGAAUAUUAUAUUAAAAUACUGCUGGAUACUGCCAUGGAAAACCCCAGAUUUUGCUUUGUUAAAAUGACAUGCGUAACAAUUAAAUCAGAAUUACAGAUUUAUAUUCUAUAUAGCAUUGUUUCUCUCAUGAGCUUGUAUUCUGGAUUCCUGAAUUCUGCUACAAUUUUAUAUAGGUUUUGGGGAAAACAAAUAGCUGCAAUAUGCGUUUAUAGCUCACCUGCUUUGUUUUACCUCCACCAUAAUAAAAUACUAUGCUUCUAAGUAUUGCAGUGUGGUCAGAACUGGGGCACCCAUAAAGUCACCAUAGGGCGCACCAGCCUGGGAGGCACAAUGUCCAGGUGACCAGCUGCAGGGGAGAAACAUACAGAAGGCUGGCAGGAGAAACAGACACACAAGGGGGCUGAGAGGAGAAAGAAACACACAGAGGGGCGGUGUGGAGAAAGAGACACACAGAGGGGCUGGCAGGAGAAAGAGACACACAGAGGAAAGAGACACAUGGAGGGGCUGGGAGGACACACAGGAGAAAGAGACACAGGGAGGGGCUGGGAGGAUAAAGAAACACACAGAGGGGCUGGGAAGAAAAAGAGACACACAGAGGGGCUGAGAGGAGAAAGAGACACACAGAGGGGCUGGGAGGAGAAAGAGAUGCACAGAGGGGCUAGGGAGAAAGAGAUACACAGAAUGGCUGGGGGGGGGGAGAUGCAUAGAGGAGCUGAGAGUAGAAGAAGAUGCAAAGAGGAGCUGGGGAAGUAAUAGACACACAGAGGGACUUGCAGUAGAAAGAUACACACAGAGGGGCUGGGAGAAGAAAGAGACACACGGAAUGGCUGGGAGGAGAGAGAGACUUACACAGAGGGGCUGGGAGAAGAAAGAGACAAACAGAAUAGCUGGGAGGAGAGAGAGAGACACAGAGGAGCUGUGGGGAGAAAGAGAUGCACAAAAGGGCUUGGUGAAAUAGACAAGAUGCUGGGGAAAGGGAGAAAGAAACACACAAAGGUGCCAGGGAAGGGGAAAAACAGAGGAGUUGGAGGACAGAUAAUAUGAUGGGGUGGGAGACACAGAAAAUUGGCUUGGGGAGAAAGAGACAGAAAAGGGGCUGAGGGAAGAAAGAGCCAUACAGAAGAUCUGGGGAUGGAAAAAAGAGACACACAUAAGGGCUGGGGGAAGUAAGAGACAUACAAAGGUGAUGCAAGUAACACAAACGGAAAAAUGGUGGGGUAUAAGAUACAUUACAGGGAGGUGUAAGACACAAGAGGAGUAUAAGAUACACUAAAGUGUGUAAGACUAAAGUGUGUAAGACAGUUCUAAACUCAAUUUCACCCCUUACUUACAAUGGGACCUUGUAAAAUUUAGAAAGUAAAAUUAAUUACUUAGUCUUCUCUGUCAUUAGUGUCUGUGUUUAUAUAAUGCAUUCCUUAGCUCAGGCUCAGUGGUUAGUGAAAUUAAGGAAAUUAUGUGUCUUUGUUAUCCUGAAGAUAGCAAAAUGGAGUCUGCUCUGUUCUGAGUGACUCUGGCAAUAUACACUUUUAAUUUUUUUCUUAGCACAAAAUGUCUGCCGAUAUAAAUAUCCUGACAUGACAUGAGUGCACUUUUAGGCCACCAUAUGACUGCUUAGAGGAAAUCUAUACAUGGUCACUUUAGCCACAGGAUUUCCCCCAUUAUUUAAGGCAUUUUUUCUGCUUUUUUUUAAAUAUAUAUAUAUAUAUAUAUAUAUAUAUAUAUAUUUUACUGAAUGAGUAAUGGUGUUGUGGCUUAAGAAUUAGGCCAGCUAGUGAAUUUCUUGUCUGUACCAUCUAGUAAAUUCUUUGUCUGUACCACCUAGUGAAUUCCUUGUCUGUACCAGCUAGUGAAUUCCUUGUCUGUACCAGCUAGUGAAUUCCUUGUCUGUACCAACUAGUGAAUUCCUUGUCUGUACCAACUAGUGAAUUCCUUGUCUGUAUCACCUAGUGACUUCCUUGUCUGUACCAGCUAGUGAAUUCCUUGUCUGUACCAGCUAGUGAAUUUCUUGUCUGUAUCACCUAGUGAAUUCCUUGUCUGUACCAACUAGUGAAUUCCUUGUCUGUACCAACUAGUGAAUUCCUUGUCUGUACCAACUAGUGAAUUCCUUGUCUGUAUCACCUAGUGACUUCCUUGUCUGUACCAGCUAGUGAAUUCCUUGUCUGUACCAGCUAGAGAAUUUCUUGUCUGUACCAGCUAGUGAAUUCCUUGCCUGUACCAACUAGUGAAUUCCUUGUCUGUACCAGCUAGUGAAUUCCUUGUCUGUACCAACUAGUGAAUUCCUUGUCUGUACCAACUAGCAAAUAGAUUUCAAUAUCUGACUGACUGCAUGGAUUAUAGCAUUUUUGAAAUCCAAUUGUGUCUGUGUACUGUAGCAUAAUACAGUUCUCUAUUACAAUAUAUUUCUUAAAUAAAAUGAACUUUCAUGUUAAAAAGUCGCAGCACUUUAAGGUGUAAUAUUUUCUUGUGACAUUAAACUAAAAUAAUCAGUUCAAAGUCACAGAGUUGUGAUUAUUGCAGUAACAUUUUAAAUAUAAUUUGAUAAAAUAUUGGGAUUGUGGCAGAAUCUAAUGAGUAUCAUACCAAUUUAGCAGAAUUUUAUUAUCUUAUAAUUCGUUUUGGGUUCAUAUCUUGGAAAUGGCAAAUUACAGAAAGUGAAACGGCCAUUACUUUUUUAUGACAACCUUAUAAAAAGUAAAAUCUUAAUAGUUUAUUUCCAUGAAAUUGGAGUUCUAGUUAGCCCUGAGGUCAAUAAAGUGUUAUAAUAAAAUGGACUACCCAGUUCCAUGCUGUGAAGGUAAUCGGAUAAUUCCUGGGUGUAAUUUUCUUCAAUAUUGUAUUUGAGUAGGACAAUAAAGUCUAUUUAAAGCAAUACCUUAUUUUCAGAAUUCUAGAUAGAUUGGAAUAACAAUUAUAAACUAUCUUUUCUGUUGUAAAUGUUAAAGGGACACUAUAGUUCAUAAAAUAACUUUAGCUUAAUUAAGUGGUUUUGGUGUAUAGAUCAGUUCUCUGUGGUCUCACUGCUCAAUUAUCUGCCAUAUAGGAGUUAAAUCACUUUGUUUUGCAGCCCUAGUCACACCGCCCUGCAUAUGACCUAUGCAGCCUUUCUAAACACUUCCUGUAAAGAGUCAUCUAUCGUUUAUACUUCCUUUAUUCCGCAGUCUGUUUAAUUUAGAAUCUAGUAUCUCCUCAUCUGUUAAUAACCCACUAGACCUUGCAGGAAUCUCCUGUGUAUAAUUAAAGUUAAAUUUACAGAGCAGGAGAUAAAAAGUUCUAAAGUAACUUAACAUCUAAAUGCAGGCUGUGUAAGUCACAGCCAGGGGAGUUGUUAGGGCAUAUAUUAUAUUAUAUAUAUAUACGUUAUAUUGUAUAUAUUAUAUUAUUACAUAUUUUAUUCUGUUGAGAUUUUGGUAAGAUGCUUUCAAAUUCCAGCAGACAUUUCUUCACAUUUUUAUCAUGUUUUUCUCUUAAUUUACAAGGUGUACAUCCUAUAUUUGAAAGAAAAAAAAAUGUCCUGCUUUUUUAAUGUUUUAAUUUAUUUAUUUUAUACAUUGUAGAGAUUAGAUGAAUAAGUAAAUACCCAUUUGAAACCAUUGCAUCUGUGGGUACAUAACCAGUCUAAUCUGGAGCACUGUCUACCUUCUUUGCAUAUGGUAUUUGGAGGUAGAAAAUUCCAGCAGUUUAUUGAUGCUAAUCAGCCUAUAUUAACAGACAUGCUAUAGUUGAUUACUUUAUUAUUAUUAAUCACAUUUUGCAAUGAUCUGAUAAUUAUGAAAUUAUUCAAUUUUAAAACAUAAAAUCAAUUCGCAUUAAAGUGAUACAACACUAGAAUUAUCUUUGGAUGAUUGAUUUUGGUUUAUUAAUAUUUUAUAUUUGUUAAUUGUUAGUUGCUGUUUCCGAAAUAUAUUUAUCCAUUAACCGGGAGAAUUAACACAGGAAUUGUACAUUCUAUGCCCAGUUAGACAAUUCACUGCAAUUUUUCAGCUCCUUUAUUUUGGUCUAAAAUUUGCAACAUCCUUAUCAUUUAUUUCCAAUUCUUAGUAAAUAACUCAGAAGAAUGUACAAGACAAUUUUAUGUACUUGUGGUUCUACAGUUUGUAAUAUGAAAUAUGUGAGUUAAGAAAGUUUAAAAAAAAAGUUAAACUUUGGAAGGAUAGUUAUAAAGUCAUUCUUUUUAUAUAACACUGGGAAAGUGAGUUAUUUAUUUUUCAAUGUCAACAUGUUGUGAAGUAUUUAUAUCUUGAUGUCAACACGUUGUAAUAUUGGCUAGCGUAUCUGUGUGAUAGGUUAAAGCACAGAAUAUAUGGCUUGCUACAGUUACAUAUUUUAUGACGUUAGACUUGAAACAUAGCGAUUCAAAAUGUUUUAUCUUGAAUGCCAUUGGCAGAACAUUAAAAUAAUUAUUUUAACAGCCACUGAAAAGAUGAUGCAUAUUUUCAUUGGAAAUUACUGAAUGUUAGAUCCUAUCUUGUGUUGUUGAGAGGUAGGUGUAGGUGAAGUUAUUAAAGAUGUCUCAUCUGUACUGACACAUCACUUUCUGACAUUUCAUAAUUCACAGUUAUAUUAUCUCUGUAGGGAUUGAAAGGACUAAAUAAUCGGUCCAGGAAGAUGUCACUGUAGCGGAAGGAUAAUGGAUUUUUUUUAUUUUAUUACCUAAUGGUUAAUGCUUAUUAAAAAAAAAAGUAUUUAAGGGGAAUAUAGUUUAAAAAAAAUAUUUACAUUUCUCAAAAAACAAACAAAUCAAUGGCGUUACUUAUCUUAUUUUAAUAUAAAUUGUUAUCAAGGGAUUGAAAGUUACCUUUACAAGGAAUUAUAUCACUAUGCAACAUAUGAGUUACAUUAGAAUUUAGUUUUUCUAUUUUGCAUUUAAUUUGUUAUUCAUAUUUCAUUUCUCAUUGCUGUUCAUUAACUUGAUAAGUGUUUGAAGGCUAACGUAAAUGACUGUUUAAGUCAGGUCUUUUCAUGCUGAACUGCUUUCAUUUUAUCACAGGUAUGCAUGAGGGCUGAUACAUUUCGCUUUAUGAUGAAGCCAGGAAGCCGACAAGGGCAGACUCAGGUAUUCUGUUUUGGAAUUCAUACAAAUAUGCUUGUUUCAGGGACCGAAUAAUUUGUUUUGUGCGCAGACUGUAUAUUUUGUCACCUGUUAAGGAUUGUAUACAACAGGAUUCCAGGAGAUGUGGUUGCAUAAUAUCAGAAGCAAGGGAAAAACACGUAGCAAAUUUCUAGUAGAUAUCUCUUUGUUUGUGCUUAUAUAAAAAUAGGGAUAUAUACUAAAGAACCUACAUUUAAAAAAAUAUUUAUUUCGAAAGAAAAGAUAAAGAGAGUGUGUCAGGUUGCUAAUGAAAAAUGGAAUGGGGGUAACCCCUACUGGAUAACUAACUAAAAAGAAGAGGUACAAGAAAACCUGGAGGCUACAAUAAAUCUAGAUAUUAAACCUACAGGUUACUAGUACAAUUUCAGCAACCCAUAAUCUGAUAAAAUAUAACUUUAAAUAAUAAAAUAUUAAAAUGAAAAAAAGCACAGUCGCUGUGUGAAGAAAUAGUUAGAGGAGAGAGAAACCAUAAUAAGGAUAUUUAUCAAAGAGUGUCACUUAGAUCGAAUAUUGGCACAGGUGAUGCGGGAUUGAGGGGUUAAAGCGUGGUCUGAAUGUAAUAGCCCAGUAUCACCACCCCACUCUUAUCACCCAGUAUCACCGUAGUGACAAACACCUCCAACUUUCGGUUUAAACUUUCUAACCAAACGUCUAAGCACAGUCCGAAUAAAAUAAAUAAAGAGGAAAGUCACAGCUGCAGCAUCGUCCCUGUCCAACACCUCCACCCUCCACUAAACUAGUCCCGACGCGCGUUUCGCCGAAAAUCGGCUCUUCCAAGGGAACCGAGUGUAAGUUAAACCGUUGUUUAAAUAUCCCGCCCUCUCUCAUGAUUGGCUGCUGAUCUUGCCCAAGUGGGGGGGGGGGGUGGAGCCUAGCUCCUUCCACAGUUAACCCUGAGUGGCUCGGUGUACUGUGAAGGAGAUAGGUUAAUGUGAACAAUGUAAUUACAAAUCUAAUGUAUUAAGAUGCUCUAAUAUAAUGUGAAUCAACAAAAACGAACAGUAUAGUCUUAGAUGAUCCAGCAAAUAGUAUCAAGAAGAAAAGUGGGUAAAAUAAACUUAAAAAUCCCUGACCUACAUCUGACUCUUUGUAAGGAGAAAUCUAGUGAGAAAGAUAGUUGAUAGUUAUGAAGCAACAUUGUUGUGCCCAAUAUGUUGCUCUUUUCUCUGUGUUUCCUAAUUGAUAGUGCAAACUUAUUUUCUCCUGUCAGGCACCAAAUAGUAUCUCAUGGUGGUUCUAAAAGUCCUGGAAAAAAUUAACAAAAAUAGAAAAAAAAAAUCAAAGUAAAUGUCAGUCCAUAGACAUGAAAAAUUACAGUUAUAAUCAUAACUCAAACCCCUAGUUUCUUAGGUAUAUCUACACAUUCAAAAUUUAUAAUAUCAUGGCUAAAUGUUGCAAAAGCAUAUUUAAAUUGCUGAUCAUAUAGAUAUUUAACUGAGAUAUCAGCGAGAGAGAAGCCCAUCCCAUAUCUUUAGGCAUGAAUGAACGGAAUAAAAUUAAACUCCUCAUUUAGUCCUUUAGGGUAUAAAGUUUGAAAUGAGUAGAUCCAGCGAGAGUCAGCCUUUAGUAGAGAAAUAUUGAUAUCUCCCUUUCAAUGAUUCUGAAAUAUUUUUUGGGUCACCUAAAACUUUAAUGAACUGGAUUUAGAAGCAUGAUUUAGUCGUAUAUGUUUGGCAAUAGGCGUGUCAAUAUGUGGGUUUGUGAUGGAAUUGAUAUGUUGUAGAAUCCGUCGACGUAAUUGUUGGUACGUUUUGCCAAUGUACUGUAAUCCACAUUCACAUGUUAUAAGAUAAAUAACAUUCGUAGAACUGCAGUUGAUAAAAGAAUUGACAACUAUGUCUUUGGAUGUUCUUUUAUUGUGCACAGUUUUAGAUGGUAAAAUAAAGCUCCAGGACUUACAGUGGCCACAUUUGAAAAGACCUUUGGUUUGGAGCCAUGUAGAUGUAGUUUGUGCUGGUUUUAAAUGGCUGUGUGUUAAAUGAUCUGCCAGGUUUCUUGCUCUUUGAUAGGUCAUUGAAGGCUGAUUCGUGAUUGUGUUCUUAAGGCAUGCAUCAUACUGUAAUACCGGCCAGUUUCUACUCAACACCUGUAGUGCCUGAUUCAAAUGUCUAUCGUAUGUACCUAUAAAUCUCGUGACGCCUGGAGUCGUUGAUGUAUUUUUAGGGGGUCUGUGUAAGCUCUCUGAUCUAUCAACAGCUUUAGUUCUUUGAUAGGCUUUCUUUAAAAUUCUGUUAGGGUAGCCUAGGCUUUUAAAUCUGUUUCUUAGUUUCUUUGCUUCCUUCUCAUAGUCUUCCUGGUUUGAGCAGUUCCUUUAUGCUCUAAGACACUGGCCAUAAGGUAUUGGCCUUGACAUGGUGUGGAUGGAAUCUUUGCCAAUGAAGCAAACUGUUAGUUGCGAUGGGUUUCUUAAAUAAUGACGUGGUGAUUUUCCCAUCGUCUAGAAUGUUAAUUGUCAAGUCCAGGAAGACCAGUUGUCUCUCGUGUAUGACGUGAGUAAGUUGGAGAUUAAUUUGAUUUUCAUUUAGUGUAUCCACCAAUAUCUUACAUUUUAAAAAAUAUACACAGAUCAAUUCUGAACUUCUUCAGUAGACCGACCACUGUAUAUCCCAAAGAAACCAUUCCUAUCUCAAUAGAAAGUUAAUCUCUUGUAAUUAACAUUCUAGCUUCUACAACAAAACAAUCUGUCAGAAUUCCAGGACACAGCAAUCUAAAAAGCUUAGAAUGUGACAUUUCAGCUGACGAGAUAGCUGAGGCAAUUAAACUUAUGCCAUCUGGAAAGGCCCCUGGUCCUGAUGGAUUCACUAUUUCAUAUUGCAAAGCCUUUCCAGAAAUCUUAAUUCCCCAUAUGACAAAAUUAUUUAAUUCUUAUGAGACCAAGGGGAGGAUGUUGGAGGAGUCCUUGUGCGCACAAAUAGCCACCUUGCCAAAGCCGGGGAAAACUCCUGAUAGGUGUCCUAAUUUUAGGCCCAUUUCUCUGAUAAAUAAUGAUUUAAAAAUGUACUCUAAAGUUUUAGCAAACAGGUUAGCUAAAUUAAUCUCUUUAUUAAUUAAUAGUGGCCAAGUGGGUUUAGUGCAAGGGAGACAGGCACCGGAUGGGACCAGAAGGUUUAUUGAUUUGAUUCAGCAAAUUAAUUCGAUCAAAAUGCCUUCUUUGCUUCUUUCAUUGGAUGCAGAGAGGGUGUUUGACAGAAUACACUGGGGCUAUUUAUGGAGCACUUUACGAAGAUUUAAUAUCCCUUUGUUCUUUGUUAACACAAUAAGGGCGUUAUACUGUGACCCUUUGGCCCAUGUCUCAGCCUCUGGUUUUAAAUCCCAUACUUUUUCUCUCACUAAUGGGACGAGACAGGGCUGCCCUUUAUCUCCAAUUCUGUUUGUCUUGGCCAUGAAACCCCUGGCUGAACUGAUUAGGAAGACCCCAGAAAUUGAAGGAAUAACUAUUAAAGGAUCCACUCACAAAAUUGGUUUAGUUGCUGAUGAUAUAAUUCUGGCACUCAAAAAUCCAAAAAAAUCCUUACAAUAUCUUAAGGAUAUUUUACUUCGAUUUGGAGAAGUAUCGUAUUACAAAUUAAACGAGUCCAAGUCUCAGGUCCUCCCAUUCCAUAUAAAUCACUCAGAAGUUACCACUCUUAAGAGAAUGUAUUUGUUCGAUUGGAGAAAUGAUUACUUAGAAUACCUAGGCAUUAUUUAUGAAAAAACUUAGUAAGUAUGCAUAUUUAUAGCUUAAGGAAAGCAUGGUCAGAUCUACAAAAAGAGAUGGAGAGAUGGGGCGGGAUGGAACUCUCAUGGCUAGGGAGAAUCGCAUCUAUUAAAAUGACAGUUCUUCCAAAAAUCUUAUAUUACUUUAGGACUAUACCUCUAUCUAUUCCAAUAUCUUUUUUCAAUAAAAUCCAUUCAGUAAUGUUAAAAUCUGUUUGCAGGAGCAAAACUAGCAGGAUAAAGCUCACCUACCUGCAGCAUCACAAAUCCGAUGGCGGUGUUGGGGUACCGGACAUCUGCAAGUACUACUUUGCUACUAAUGCUGCAGUGGUGUGAGCUUUAAUAGUCAUUCUAGCAGGCCAAGAUGGAUGGAAAUAGAAGAGUCAAAUAUUCUUCCGUUUCGACUUACGGAAUUGCCCUGGCUAUGUCCUAAAAAAAGACCUAGCGCCACUAAACUAUUUUUAUCAACAAAAAACACCCUUAAGGCUUGGGACGUAAUUUUUAAAAACAACAACCACACUGCAAGAGUGUAUAGAGCAAUGCCAAUUGAAUUAUUGAAAGACCAUAUGCCCUUUUUGAAUCUAGAUUUAAUGAAAGGGUAUCAUAUAACAAACAUAGAUAGUUUUUUACAUGGUAAUGCCAUUCUUCAAUUUGAAAAAUUAAAACUUAGACACGGACUAACGAAUGAACAUAAAGAAGAAUGCAUGUUUAUUAUUGAACAAUUGAAAGAAAUAUGUAAUGUACCAGACACUGAUAAAAACUAUAAAUCACUAGAGUUAACAACAUUAGAAAAAUAGUUUUUGUAUAAUCCAAAUUGUAAGGGCAAACUGAAACACAUGAUCUCUUGGGAGACGGAGCUAAGUACACAAUACGAGCUUUACGAGUGGUUCAGUUUUUUCAAAACAUUAAAAGGGAUUUCGUUCUGUACCGACCACUUUGAGAACCACUACAAAAUUCUAUACUGCUGGUACUUGGCUCCAUCCAGACUGCAUAACAUGAAUAACAUGUAUUCUGACCGGUGCUGGAGGGACUGCGGGGGUUUGGGAAAUAUGGCUUAUAUAUGGUGUUAUUGUCCCAAAAUUGCAAAGUACUGGAAAAUGAUUCAUGAUCUAAUUGUUAAAGUAGAUAGAACUAUCGCUAUGUUAACUUCGGAGCUUGCAUUAUUUAAGAAACUCCCCUAGUCCAUUAGUAGAAUUGACAAAAUAAUAAUAGGCCACAUCUUAAUUGCUGCUACCUCAUGCUUGCCAAGAUAUUGGAAGACAAAAUAUACACCAUUAGUUAGAGAGGUUUUUAACUUGGUUCUUGACAAUAAAGCAUACGAAUUGUCACAUAGGAGCAAUAUGCACUCUUUCACAAAACUAAAAUCUAAUUGGGACAAGUGGGAAGAAGAUGUUAAAAAAAGUCUAUCAUUUAUAAAUAGCUGAUUUAUUGUUGAAUUGUAUCAUUGCACAAUUUAUAUUAUGUACAUUAGUAUUUGUAUUAGUAUAAUGAAUGGACACCCUUUCCCACUUCCAAGUUUUCCUUCCCUCACCUUCCCCUAAUAUAAUGUUUGUAUAAUUUGUUACACAUUUUCAAAAACUCAAAAAUUCAAGUGUGUAACAGCAGUAAAACAAGUACAAAAUAUACAAUAAAAAAUAAGCAUUUUUCGUCCGAAUGGACUUCCUCAGGGACCUCCUGGUAUUUGAGUAAAAACAAGUAAAAUCCCUCCCCGAGGGAAGUAAAAUCCCUCCCCGAGGGAAGUAAAAUCCCUCCCCGAGUCCUUUCUUUUAUACUGAUGGUGGAUUCUUCUUAUUGUGCUUCCCAGGGUGUCAGUUUCUUCAUACAGCUGUAUGUAAUAAAAUUUCCCGGGCUCUCUUGCUUCCGUGAUGUCACUUCGGCAAAUUUGAUUACCGGAAAUUUGAUUACAUACAGCUGUAUAAAGAAACUGACGGUUUCUCGGGGGUGGGAUUUUAUUGCUUAUUUUUUAUUGUAUAUUUUGUACUUGUUUUACAUACUCAAAUACCAUAAGGUCACUGAGGAAGUCCAUUCGGACAAAACGCGUAGGACCUGGUACCAUAACAGCCUAUAUAUACAUAUAUUUAUUUUAUACUUUUAAAUAAAGAAGGAUUUUUUUCUACUCCAUAUCCUGAGUUCAACUUCGUUUUCCUGUGAAUAGAAGCAGUGAUUCUGCCCACCACCUACAUCAGGGGAGGCACCCAUGGGGCGUCAUUUAUUCAAUUAAAUCUAUGAUUUUUAGAAUCAGGGCUACAGUUGCAUGUUUGAAGGGUAAUGAAUAUAUGCCAGAUGAGAAAGAGAGAUAUAGCAUUUUAGUAAUAGGCAAAGCAAAAGAAGGAGACAGAGUACGGAUGAGAUGUGAGGGAAUAGGAUAAAGGAUGCAGGUGGUGGGGUGGGAGGACCAGAGUAGAUCAGAAACCUCUUCUGCUGUAGCAGGUGCAAAUGAACAUAGAACAGCGGAGAAGGGAGUGAGGUUGGGGGAAGUAUUGUAAGGGGAAGGAGAGAUAUGAGAGAUCUUGUCAGUGAAGUGAGUUGCAAAGUUUGUGGCGGUUAAGUCGGUAGGAGGAGGAGGAGCAACAGGGCGAAGAACAGAGUUAAAAGUGUGAAAUAGUCAUUUUGGUUCAUGGGAGAGUUAUGAGGAUAUUGAAGUAAUAUACUUCUGCAGAAGGUCCAGAUUAAAAUUGAACAUAACUCCCCACCUGACUACCACCUUAUCUCGCUACUAUCUUUUGUUUCCAAGAUCCUUGAAAGACUUGUGUAUGUGAUAUUGUCAGACUUCCUCUAGUCCAAUUCUCUGCUUGGCCCACUUCAGUCUGAUUUCCGUGCUCAGCACUCUGUGGAAACAGCUCUGACCAAAGUAUCAAACCAUCUACUCGCUGCAAAAUUUCAUGGUCACUACUCUAUCUUAAUUCUCCUUGACCUUUCCUCUGCUUUUGAUACUGUUGAUCAUCAACAGCUUCUUCUCAUCCUCCAUAUCUUGGUCUCCUGGUGUUCCUCCUACCUCACCUAGCGUUCUUUCAGUGUUUCUUUAUCUGGCUCUGACUCUUCCUCCCAACCUAUCUCUGUUGGUGUCCCCCAAGGUUUAGUCCUUGGUCCCCUGCUGUUCUCGAUCUAUACUGCCUCCCUUCAUCAGCUCUUUGGCUUCCAAUAUCACUUCUAUGCAGAUGACACUCAAAUCUAUCUGUUCUCCCCUGAUCUCUCCCCCACCCUCUUGACUAGUGCCUCUGACUGCCUCUCUGUUAUUUCAAACUGGAUGGCUGCCCAUUUCCUUAAACUCAGCUCUUACAAAACAGAACUUCUGGUCUUUCCUCCCUCAAGUGUUGCUAUUCCUGUUUCUGCCUCCCUCCACAUUACUGGUGCUACCAUCAGCUACACCACAAAGGCUCACUACCUAUGUGUUCUCUCUCCGACCUCUCUUCAUGCCUAAUAUCCAGUCGGUCGCCAAAUCCUGCCGCUUCCAUUGCAAAAACAUUGCGCACUUCCACCCUUACUUAUCGCCAGAUGCGGCUAAGGUGCUGGUCCAUGCCACUGUUCUCUCUCGCCUUGACUACUGCAAUCCGCUUCAACCGGGGAUGGGUGGUGGGAGGGAGAGGAGACCUGCAGGGCCAGGAAAACAGACUUUCCUGGCACUGGAGAGUCCCUUUAAAUGGUAUGUGUGCUAUAUAAAUGGUAUGUGUGUAAUAUAAAUGGUUCUUGCUAAAAUACAGCAAAACUGAAAAAUCUGGGACCAAGAAAGAUGAUAACAGCAUAAGAGAAAGAUUAAUCAUUAAGGGAAACAAAGACAAUGUGGUACAUGUGGAAAGACCUGAAAAAAGCAAAAUGGCAUGCCUCUCCAUAUUCCAAAUGGGCAAAGUGGGUGAUUUUAAUUUUAUAGGUGUGAGCGUGGGUGAGAACAGUGGUGAGGGUGUUCUGAGAAAAGUUAGUUACUGAUAACAAUUUAGUGAAAUAAAAUGUAGUUUAGAACAAGAACAAUGUAUUUAUUUACACAGACUGAUUUCUAAGCACAUUCAUAGUUUAAAGCAGUGGUAGUCAACCUUUUUCCACUUACCGCCCACUAAUGCAUCUUUCUUGAUGGAAAAAUUUCCUUACCGCCCACCAGUUUUCGCGCAAGCGCGGAAUAUUUUUUAGAAAGGAGGGUGUUUUAAAAA
Non-coding RNA from Pelobates cultripes (western spadefoot toad), 15070 nucleotides. NCBI's taxonomy places the organism in Eukaryota, Metazoa, Chordata, Amphibia, Anura, Pelobatidae. The record is from the annotation of a GenBank genome assembly.